CACCUCUCAACCACACACUGGUUUGGAUCGUGGCCGCUGGCUGUGUCACAGCCCGGCCGAAAUGGAUGCGGAGCGCUUACGCGCCUCUGACGUGCCACAGCGUUGUAGACCCCUCGCUGACCGUCAAGAGCACGGGCUCCCCAGUUUAUCA
This 151-nucleotide unclassified non-coding RNA is filed under the name uncultured Basidiomycota. RNAcentral's name for it is "sequence contains ITS2". Lineage: Eukaryota; Fungi; Basidiomycota. The record is from RNAcentral.